RNAcentral lists this long non-coding RNA (240 nucleotides) under Elaeis guineensis (African oil palm). RNAcentral describes it as "long non-coding RNA (EGUI_LNC033158)". The record is from RNAcentral. Lineage: Eukaryota; Viridiplantae; Streptophyta; Magnoliopsida; Arecales; Arecaceae.
GUCAAAUCAGAAAUCGAACAUCCUUAGUGAUUAGGUCAUCUCAUAACCUAAUCGGAUCAAACCAAAUUGAAUCCAAUUCAAUUAGAUUUGAUCCAAACCUCAAUGCUCAAUCAAAUUAAGCUAAUUAGUAAUCUAAUUACUAAUCAAUUCUCCUUAAAUUCAUCAAUAAUUAGUGAAUUAAUUUAUUACAAUUUUUGCACAGGGUUAAUCAUCAAUCGAAUUGACUGUUUUAUCCUAGAA